This 492-nucleotide ribosomal RNA is filed under the name uncultured bacterium. RNAcentral describes it as "partial 16S ribosomal RNA". It matches the Rfam family "Bacterial small subunit ribosomal RNA", at positions 29 to 507 of the family's 1533-position model. The record is from RNAcentral.
AGUGAACGCUGGCGGUAGGCCUAACACAUGCAAGUCGAACGGCAGCACAGUAAGAGCUUGCUCUUACGGGUGGCGAGUGGCGGACGGGUGAGGAAUACAUCGGAAUCUACUUUUUCGUGGGGGAUAACGUAGGGAAACUUACGCUAAUACCGCAUACGACCUACGGGUGAAAGCAGGGGAUCUUCGGACCUUGCGCGAUUGAAUGAGCCGAUGUCGGAUUAGCUAGUUGGCGGGGUAAAGGCCCACCAAGGCGACGAUCCGUAGCUGGUCUGAGAGGAUGAUCAGCCACACUGGAACUGAGACACGGUCCAGACUCCUACGGGAGGCAGCAGUGGGGAAUAUUGGAUAAUGGGCGCAAGCCUGAUCCAGCCAUACCGCGUGGGUGAAGAAGGCCUUCGGGUUUUAAAGCCCUUUUGUUGGGAAAGAAAAGCAGCAGGUUAAUACCCCGCUGUUCUGACGGUACCCAAAGAAUAAGCACCGGCUAACUUCGUG